RNAcentral lists this ribosomal RNA (348 nucleotides) under uncultured Helicobacter sp. RNAcentral describes it as "bacterial SSU rRNA". It matches the Rfam family "Bacterial small subunit ribosomal RNA", at positions 278 to 643 of the family's 1533-position model. The record is from RNAcentral. Lineage: Bacteria; Pseudomonadati; Campylobacterota; Epsilonproteobacteria; Campylobacterales; Helicobacteraceae.
GACGGGUAUCCGGCCUGAGAGGGUGAACGGACACACUGGAACUGAGACACGGUCCAGACUCCUACGGGAGGCAGCAGUAGGGAAUAUUGCUCAAUGGGGGAAACCCUGAAGCAGCAACGCCGCGUGGAGGAUGAAGGUUUUAGGACUGUAAACUCCUUUUGUUAGAGAAGAUUAUGACGGUAUCUAACGAAUAAGCACCGGCUAACUCCGUGCCAGCAGCCGCGGUAAUACGGAGGGUGCAAGCGUUACUCGGAAUCACUGGGCGUAAAGAGUGCGCAGGCGGGAUAGCAAGUCAGAUGUGAAAUGCUAUGGCUUAACCAUAGAACUGCAUUUGAAACUGCUAUUCUA